Molecule: ribosomal RNA, 1526 nt
Filed under: bacterium HH87
Lineage: Bacteria
Description: partial 16S ribosomal RNA
Rfam family: Bacterial small subunit ribosomal RNA
Source: RNAcentral
AGCGCGCNUACCAUGCAGUCGCACGGGCAUCUCUGUCAUUUGGCGGACGAGGGUGAGUAACGCACUAUGAACNAUGUCCNGUAGGAUGGUGUCGACAACCCCCGGGAAACUGGUGCGUAAUACCNCAAAUGGGCUCAUGCCCAAAAACCAAUAGGCGCCUUUGGAGCGGCCUGCGUCCGAUUAGGUAGUUGGUGGAGUAAAGGCCUACCAAGCCUGCCAUCGGUAACUGGUCUGAGAAGGACAUACCUCACCACACAUGUGGACUGUGAACACGGCCCACAACUCCUACACGGAGAGCACACACAUGUGGGAAUAUUGUGACAAUGUGGCGCAAAGCCUGUAUCCACACACAUGCCCCGCUGUGAUGUAAAUAAAAGUCUUCUAGAUCUUGAUAGCCCUUUCUCACGCGGGACACAUAUAUGUACACGUACCCGUAGAAAAAAAAACCCCGCGCUAUCUUCUCUGCCACACACACCGCGCGUAUAUACACAAAAGGGGGCUAUACGCUUGUCUCUCGAAUUACUGUGGCGCUAUAAGGGCGACGCUAUAGCGCGCGACCCCAUAAUCUCAGCGGUGUAAAUUCCUGGGGCUCUCACCUGUCGGACUGUCGCCUUGAUACUGUGGUUGCUCUGUAGAGAUNUGAAGAAGAGCGUCGUUGUGAAUUCUCCAGAUGUAUAAGAGUGUAAAUAUCUCUAUAAUAUNUGUCGAAAAAACACACCGUGUGCGCAAAAGCGCGCACAGCUUUGUCCAUNUACUGUACACCUCUAAGCGCUCACAGCCUGUGGGAGACACAACACAGAUUAUAAUACCCUGUGUAUAUCCCCACCCCCUAUACACAUAUGACGCUGUAAUGUUUCGGGCCCAUAUGGGUCUCAGUGUCGUAGCCUACGCAUUAAGCGCACCGCCUGGGGAGUACGGCCGCAAGGUUGAAACUCAAAGGAAUUGACGGGGGCCCCCACAAGCNGUGGAGCAUGUGGUUUANUUCGAAGCACCCGCAAAACCUUACCACCCCUUGACAUGGUCACAACCCCUCAAAAAUUGACUUUCCUAUCAUAACCNGUGANUCACAGUUGCNGCANGGCGAUNGUCANANNGUGUCUUCAGAUNUUNGGUUAAGUCCCGNAACGAGNGCAACCCUUGCNUCUAGUUGCGAGCANNUUCCGGUGGGCACUNUAGAGNAACUCACGGGGACAAUCNNGAGGAAGGUGGGGAUGAAAUCAAGUCGUCAUGGNCGAUNUCGUCUNGUCUNCACACNNGUUACAANGNNGGUGACAGAGGGAAUNCANGUCGCGAGGCNGAGCCGAUNNCGAAAAACGNUGUCACUUUUGAGUNCAUUCUGCAAANUCGGGUGCNNGAAAGGUGGANUCUCGUAUUAAUACGCGGAUCACACACGCGCGCGGUGAGAUAUAGUUUUCCGGGGCCUUGUAUCACCACACGCGCCGUGCACCACCCACGGGAGAUUGGUUUUUAUCCUUAGAGUGCGCUGUGCUAAGCCACUCNAUGGGGGCCGGCANCUCGCGAUGUAC